UGGAAGCCAUGUCUCUUUGGCCAUGCCUUCUCUUCUGGGGAGCUACCUUAACAGGUGUCCAGUCCCAAAUCAAGUUUGACCAGCCUGGUUCUGAAGUCAAAAGGCCUGGAGAGACAAUGAGGCUGAGUUGCAAGGCAUCUGGAUAUACAUUUACUUACUAUAGCAUGCACUGGAUUAAACAGGCACCAGGGAAAGGGCUGGAGUGGGUUGGCAGAAUUAGGACAGACAAUUUUGAGACAAUUUAUACUAAAAAACUUGAAGGUCGAGUCACCAUCACAGUGGACACCUCCAUCAGCACCACAUAUCUACAGCUGGCUAACUUGAAAGCUGAAGACACGUCUGUCUAUUACUGUGCAAGAGUCACAGUGGUGAAAACCUCAGAGGCCAAGGAAACAUGUGAUUGUCAAAGCAGCACAUCACUGGUCUGCAUUCAUUAGAAUGGACAUAGGGUCUUGCUAGACCUACCUGCAAAUCCGUGCUGGAGGAGCGGCAAGCCCGCACUACAAGUAGUGCGGGCCGUCACUCCAGUCCAGAUUACUACAUAA
This is a non-coding RNA of Elgaria multicarinata webbii, 545 nucleotides long. Lineage: Eukaryota; Metazoa; Chordata; Lepidosauria; Squamata; Anguidae. The record is from the annotation of a RefSeq genome assembly.